RNAcentral lists this small RNA (28 nucleotides) under Bombyx mori (domestic silkworm). RNAcentral describes it as "ovarian small RNA-33966". The record is from RNAcentral. Lineage: Eukaryota; Metazoa; Arthropoda; Insecta; Lepidoptera; Bombycidae.
UGCGCUCAAUGAGACCGAAUAAUACCUA